UACGGAGGGUGCAAGCGUUGUCCGGAUUUAUUGGGUUUAAAGGGUGCGUAGGCGGCCCGUUAAGUCAGCGGUGAAAUCCCAGGGCUCAACCCUGGAACUGCCGUUGAUACUGGCGGGCUUGAGUUCGGUCGAGGCGGGCGGAAUGGAUAGUGUAGCGAUGAAAUGCAUAGAUACUAUCCAGAACUCCGAUUGCGUAGGCAGCUUACUAGGCUGUAACUGACGCUGAGGCACGAAAGCGUGGGGAGCGAACAGG
RNAcentral lists this ribosomal RNA (253 nucleotides) under uncultured bacterium. RNAcentral describes it as "partial 16S ribosomal RNA". It matches the Rfam family "Bacterial small subunit ribosomal RNA", at positions 524 to 776 of the family's 1533-position model. The record is from RNAcentral.